Molecule: ribosomal RNA, 889 nt
Filed under: uncultured bacterium
Lineage: Bacteria
Description: bacterial SSU rRNA
Rfam family: Bacterial small subunit ribosomal RNA
Source: RNAcentral
AGAGUUUGAUCAUGGCUCAGAACGUACGCUGGCGGCACGCCUUAUACAUGCAAGUCGAACGAAGUAGCAAUACUUAGUGGCAGACGGGUGAGUAACAUGUGGGUAUCUUCCCUUUGGUGAGGAAUAACACGAGGAAACUUGUGCUAAUACCUCAUAAGUCUUUACGGAGAAAGCUUUAUGCGCCAAUGGAUGAGCCCGCACUUGAUUAGUUUGUUGGUAGGGUAAUGGCCUACCAAGACUGUGAUCAAUAGCUGAUCUGAGAGGAUGAUCAGCCACAUUGGGACUGAGACACGGCCCAAACUCCUACGGGAGGCAGCAGUAGGGAAUAUUGCACAAUGGAGGAAACUCUGAUGCAGCGAUGCCGCGUGAGUGAAGAAGGCCCUUGGGUUGUAAAGCUCUUUCGUCGGGGAAGAAAAUGACUGUACCCGAAUAAGAAGGUCCGGCUAACUUCGUGCCAGCAGCCGCGGUAAUACGAAGGGACCUAGCGUAGUUCGGAAUUACUGGGCUUAAAGAGUUCGUAGGUGGUUAAAAAAGUUGGUUGUGAAAUCCCGAAGCUUAACUUCGGAACUGCAAUCAAAACUUUUUAGCUAGAGUUUGAUAGAGGAAAGCAGAAUUUCUAGUGUAGAGGUGAAAUUCGUAGAUAUUAGAAAGAAUACCGAUUGCGAAGGCAGCUUUCUGGAUCAUUACUGACACUGAGGAACGAAAGCAUGGGUAGCGAAGAGGAUUAGAUACCCUCGUAGUCCAUGCUGUAAACGAUGUGUGUUAGACGUUGGAAAUUUAUUUUCAGUGUCGCAGCGAAAGCAGUAAACACACCGCCUGGGGAGUACGACCGCAAGGGUUAAAACUCAAAUGAAUUGACGGGGACCCGCACAAGUAGUGGAGCAUGUGG